Molecule: small nucleolar RNA, 93 nt
Organism: Malania oleifera
Lineage: Eukaryota; Viridiplantae; Streptophyta; Magnoliopsida; Santalales; Ximeniaceae
Product: small nucleolar RNA Z43
Exons: 1
Source: RefSeq, a predicted model, not a curated record
GGACGGUGAUGACUUGUGAAAGGUCUCGUUCGUCGUAAUGGCAUAUUUGCCUUGACGACCAUCCUGAUAUAUCACCACCCAUAUUCUGAGUCC